UACGGAGGAUCCGAGCGUUAUCCGGAUUUAUUGGGUUUAAAGGGAGCGUAGGCGGGUUGUUAAGUCAGUUGUGAAAGUUUGCGGCUCAACCGUAAAAUUGCAGUUGAUACUGGCAUCCUUGAGUACAGUAGAGGUAGGCGGAAUUCGUGGUGUAGCGGUGAAAUGCUUAGAUAUCACGAAGAACUCCGAUUGCGAAGGCAGCCUGCUGGGCUGUAACUGACGCUGAUGCUCGAAAGUGUGGGUAUCAAACAGG
This 253-nucleotide ribosomal RNA is filed under the name uncultured bacterium. Its description in RNAcentral is "partial 16S ribosomal RNA". It matches the Rfam family "Bacterial small subunit ribosomal RNA", at positions 524 to 776 of the family's 1533-position model. The record is from RNAcentral.